This 253-nucleotide ribosomal RNA is filed under the name uncultured bacterium. RNAcentral's name for it is "partial 16S ribosomal RNA". It matches the Rfam family "Bacterial small subunit ribosomal RNA", at positions 524 to 776 of the family's 1533-position model. The record is from RNAcentral.
GACGUAGGGCGCGAGCGUUGUCCGGAUUUACUGGGCGUAAAGGGCUCGUAGGCGGCCAACUAAGUCAGACGUGAAAUCCCUCGGCUUAACCGGGGAACUGCGUCUGAUACUGGAUGGCUUGAGAUUGGGAGAGGGAUGCGGAAUUCCAGGUGUAGCGGUGAAAUGCGUAGAUAUCUGGAGGAACACCGGUGGCGAAGGCGGCAUCCUGGACCAACACUGACGCUGAGGAGCGAAAGCCAGGGGAGCAAACGGG